GAUGAACGCUGACAGAAUGCUUAACACAUGCAAGUCUACUUGAACUUCGGUUUGGGUGGCGGACGGGUGAGUCACGCGUAAAGAACUUACCUCACAGUUAGGGACAACAUUUGGAAACGAAUGCUAAUACCUGAUAUUAUGAUUUUAGGGCAUCCUAAGAUUAUGAAAGCUAUAUGCGCUGUGAGAGAGCUUUGCGUCCCAUUAGCUAGUUGGAGAGGUAACGGCUCACCAAGGCGAUGAUGGGUAGCCGGCCUGAGAGGGUGAACGGCCACAAGGGGACUGAGACACGGCCCUUACUCCUACGGGAGGCAGCAGUGGGGAAUAUUGGACAAUGGACCAAAAGUCUGAUCCAGCAAUUCUGUGUGCACGAUGACGUUUUUCGGAAUGUAAAGUGCUUUCAGUUGGGAAGAAAAAAAUGACGGUACCAACAGAAGAAGUGACGGCUAAAUACGUG
Molecule: ribosomal RNA, 454 nt
Filed under: uncultured bacterium
Lineage: Bacteria
Description: partial 16S ribosomal RNA
Rfam family: Bacterial small subunit ribosomal RNA
Source: RNAcentral